Molecule: unclassified non-coding RNA, 1350 nt
Filed under: Hevea brasiliensis (rubber tree)
Lineage: Eukaryota; Viridiplantae; Streptophyta; Magnoliopsida; Malpighiales; Euphorbiaceae
Source: RNAcentral
UAGAGAAGAAAAUUUUAUGUUGGUUGCGAAGGGAAAUCAUAGUCAAUUUCAAUCUUUUGUUUGGAAGCAAAGUCGAGUGAGCUUCAGUUUGAGUGAAGAGAAUUCCAAGUUUGCAUCCAAAACACGGAAGUGUUCCCAUCAACCGUUGAGGUCACUGAUAACGAACGGAGCAUCUUUUGAUAUAAUUUCCUUAAGUUCUUGGAUUCAUAACUUGCGACUUCUUAAGGUCUUGGUUUUGAUUUCCCAUGAUGUUUACUAUGUGAAUUCAGCUACUUUGAAACCACUUAAUCACCUGAAGUAUCUCGUAGUAAGGGCAACUACGUUCUAUUUUGAUCGAGAAUCACAUCUGCCCCAUCUUGAAACUUUAAUUGUGAAGACUGAUAUAUCAGUUAUGUUACGAGGGUGUUUUUGGGAAAUGGAACAAUUAAGGCAUGUUGAGAUCAGUGAUGCUGAAUUUGAUAAGCAGGGGCUCUUUGAAGGAUCCUCUAAAUUGGAAAAUUUGAGGAUAUUAAAGAACAUUGUUGGAUUUCCAAUUGAUAGGGCGGAUGUGUUAUCAAGGAGGUGUCCUAAUCUUCAACAACUUCAAAUCGAAUUUGGAUCUUUUGCAGAACCUCUUUGGCUCACAUUGGAGAAUCUUACCCAGCUUCAAAUACUUGACCUUUCCUUUAGGUUGUUCCACAUGCUAUCUGGGUUACAAUUGCCUUCAAAUUUAAACAAGUUGGUACUAAGUGGGGCUCAUAUCGAAAACCUGAGUUCCUUCAUUGCAGGACUACCAAGCCUGGAGUAUCUCCAAUUUUGUGACCCCUAUGAAUCUGUUCAAAUCAGAGAUUGGUGCCUUGGAGGUAUCACGUUCCCUAAACUUAAGUUGUUGAAACUGGUGAACUUACCGAUCUCAAGGUGGGAUGCCUCAGAGGAAUCGUUUCCCCAGCUCGAAACACUUGUUAUAAAAAGGUGUAACCACCUCAAGGAGAUCCCCCUUAGCUUUGCUGAUAUUCCAACACUGAAGCAGAUUAAGUUGAUUAGGUGCGAGAACGAAUCUCUCAAGGAUUCAGCUGUGGAGAUUAAGAAAGACGUUGAAGAGAAUGAAGGAAACGACCGUAUUGACCUCAUUAUCAAAGGAUGGUAGGGAAUAUAAUUCGAGAUGAAACAUCAAAAUCACAGACAGAGUGGCCGGGGAAUAACAAGGCAAGAAGCUCUCUCUCAAGUUCACAAAUUUUCGCAGCAUUAAAAACUCAAAGGUUUUGAUAGUGUCUUAGAUAUAAGCUCAUUGACAUGAUACUUUUGCUGUGCACUCAAAAUUUUGAAGUUUGUUAUUGUUGAAUUAUUGUAAUUUGUGGCACCUAUUGAAAA